RNAcentral lists this ribosomal RNA (301 nucleotides) under uncultured bacterium. Its description in RNAcentral is "partial 16S ribosomal RNA". It matches the Rfam family "Bacterial small subunit ribosomal RNA", at positions 509 to 808 of the family's 1533-position model. The record is from RNAcentral.
CAGUCGCCGCGGUAAUACGGGGGGGGCAAGUGUUAUUCGGAAUGACUGGGCGUAAAGGGCACGUAGGCGGUGAAAAGGGUGGAAAGUGAAAGUCUCCAAAACACUGGCGGGGUGCUUUCUUGACCAUUUCACUUGAGUGAGAUAGGGGAGAGUGGAAUUUCGUGUGGAGGGAUCAAAUCCUAAGAUAUACGAAGGAACGCCAACCGCGAAGGCAGCUCUCUGGGUCCCCACUGACGCUGGGGUGCGAAAGCAUGGGGAGCAAACAGGAUCAGAUACCCCGGUAGUCCCUGUCUCUUAUACC